Molecule: ribosomal RNA, 501 nt
Filed under: uncultured bacterium
Lineage: Bacteria
Description: partial 16S ribosomal RNA
Rfam family: Bacterial small subunit ribosomal RNA
Source: RNAcentral
AUUGAACGCUGGCGGCAGGCUUAACACAUGCAAGUCGAGCGGGGGAAGGUAGCUUGCUACCGGACCUAGCGGCGGACGGGUGAGUAAUGCUUAGGAAUCUGCCUAUUAGUGGGGGACAACAUCUCGAAAGGGAUGCUAAUACCGCAUACGUCCUACGGGAGAAAGCAGGGGAUCUUCGGACCUUGCGCUAAUAGAUGAGCCUAAGUCGGAUUAGCUAGUUGGUGGGGUAAAGGCCUACCAAGGCGACGAUCUGUAGCGGGUCUGAGAGGAUGAUCCGCCACACUGGGACGGGGACACGGCCCAGGAUCCUACGGGAGGCAGCAGUGGGGAAUAUUGGACAAGGGGGGGAACCCUGAUCCAGCCAUGCCGCGUGUGUGAAGAAGGCCUUAUGGUUGUAAAGCACUUUAAGCGAGGAGGAGGCUACUCUAGUUAAUACCUAGGGAUAGUGGACGUUACUCGCAGAAUAAGCACCGGCUAACUCUGUGCCAGCCGCCGCCGUAA